This 497-nucleotide ribosomal RNA is filed under the name uncultured bacterium. RNAcentral's name for it is "partial 16S ribosomal RNA". It matches the Rfam family "Bacterial small subunit ribosomal RNA", at positions 28 to 507 of the family's 1533-position model. The record is from RNAcentral.
GAUGAACGCUGGCGGCGUGCCUAAUACAUGCCAGUCGAGCGAACGGACGAGAAGCUUGCUUCUCUGAUGUUAGCGGCGGACGGGUGAGUAACACGUGGAUAACCUACCUAUAAGACUGGGAUAACUUCGGGAAACCGGAGCUAUUACCGGAUGAUAUUUUGAACCGCAUGGUUCAAAAGUGAAAGACGGUCUUGCUGUCACUUAUAGAUGGAUCCGCGCUGCAUUAGCUAGUUGGUAAGGUAACGGCUUACCAAGGCAACGAUGCAUAGCCGACCUGAGAGGGUGAUCGGCCACACUGGAACUGAGACACGGUCCAGACUCCUACGGGAGGCAGCAGUAGGGAAUCUUCCGCAAUGGGCGAAAGCCUGACGGAGCAACGCCGCGUGAGUGAUGAAGGUCUUCGGAUCGUAAAACUCUGUUAUUAGGGAAGAACAUAUGUGUAAGUAACUGUGCACAUCUUGACGGUACCUAAUCAGAAAGCCACGGCUAACUACGUG